CAAAUCAGGUAGGAUUACCCGCUGAACUUAAGCAUAUCAAUAAGCGGAGGAAAAGAAACUAACAAGGAUUCCCCUAGUAACUGCGAGUGAAGCGGGAAAAGCUCAAAUUUGUAAUCUGGCGGUCUUGGGCCGUCCGAAUUGUAAACUAGAGAAGCGUUAUCCGCGCUGGACCGUGUACAAGUCCCCUGGAAUGGGGCGUCAUAGAGGGUGAGAAUCCCGUCUUUGACACGGACUACCAGGGCUUUGUGAUGCGCUCUCAAAGAGUCGAGUUGUUUGGGAAUGCAGCUCAAAAUGGGUGGUAAAUUCCAUCUAAAGCUAAAUAUUGGCGAGAGACCGAUAGCGAACAAGUACCGUGAGGGAAAGAUGAAAAGAACUUUGGAAAGAGAGUUAAACAGUACGUGAAAUUGCUGAAAGGGAAACGCUUGAAGUCAGUCGCGUUGGCUAGGGAUCAGCCUUACUCUGGUGGGGUGUAUUUCCUUGUCGACGGGUCAGCAUCAGUUUUGGUUGCUGGAUAAAGGCCAGGGGAAUGUGGCACCUUCGGGUGUGUUAUAGCCCUUGGUCAGAUACAGUGGCUGGGACUGAGGAACUCAGCACGCGCAAGCUGUGCUUAGG
Molecule: ribosomal RNA, 612 nt
Filed under: Hohenbuehelia sp.
Lineage: Eukaryota; Fungi; Basidiomycota; Agaricomycetes; Agaricales; Pleurotaceae
Description: partial 28S large subunit ribosomal RNA
Rfam family: Eukaryotic large subunit ribosomal RNA
Source: RNAcentral